AUGUGGGGUAGAAGAAGAAAACUUCGAAGGCUUAAUGAUGUCACCAUUUCUACCUGCCACGUAUCGGCGAAGGUUGGGACUCGACUGGUGUUUGAUCACGAUGGGAAAAUCAUCCAGAAAACCCCCUACCCCCACCCCAGAGGGACCACAGUCAGCGUGAAGCAGUUAUUUUCUACGCUACCUGUGCGCCAUAAGGAAUUUCAAAGGAAUAUUAAGAAGAAACGUGCCUGCUUCCCCUUCGCCUUCUGCCGUGAUUGUCAGUUUCUUGAGGGCUCCCCAGCCAUGCUUCCUGUACAGCCUGCAAAACUGACUCCUAGAAGUACCCCACCCCACCCCUGCUCCUUGGAGGACAACGUGAUCACUGUAUUCAGCUCUGUCAAGAAUGGUCCAGGUUCUUCUAGAUGAUCUGCACAAAUGGUUCCUCUCCUCCUUCCUGAUGUCUGCCAUUAGCAUUGGAAUAAAGUUCCUGCUGAAAAUCCACAUCUCCCCUGGGUCCGGUGUUCUGGAAGUGAGAGAGACAAUGUCACACUUCAAGGAGGCAGCUCUCUAGACAGGAAGGUUAUUCACGUCCCAUGUCAAGUCUAGCUAGAGUUCAGAGCAAUUGAGAAGUGCAAUUUUAUCUCCUGCCUUUCAUUCUAUACCCUGCUUCUGAACCAUCGUGUUCAACUGUGAAACUCACACUUUGGUGACCCUGACUCCAAAACUUAAUACACCCAAGGUCAGCCCCAGUGAUCUGCUUCAUAGCCAGGACUUUGGGUGGGUCUUCCCAGGGAGUAGGGCACCCUCAGAGAAUGUGGCUUUGGACUUCAUCACAGCUGGGGCCUUUUGUGUCACUUCAGAUCUAAACUUGUAACCGUGCUAGAUCUGUUUCUAACGUGACAACAUCACGAACCACGAGUCCAGAAGCCUAAUCCAUAAUCCUCCCUCCUCAUGACGAAGUCUCAUGCUCUGUGCUC
This 956-nucleotide long non-coding RNA is filed under the name Homo sapiens (human). RNAcentral's name for it is "non-protein coding lnc-POM121-3:4". Lineage: Eukaryota; Metazoa; Chordata; Mammalia; Primates; Hominidae. The record is from RNAcentral.